Juglans microcarpa x Juglans regia is the source of this 143-nucleotide long non-coding RNA. RefSeq lists it as uncharacterized. The transcript has 2 exons. NCBI's taxonomy places the organism in Eukaryota, Viridiplantae, Streptophyta, Magnoliopsida, Fagales, Juglandaceae. The record is from RefSeq and is a predicted model, not a curated record.
UACUGAUCUAUUGAGUUGGUCUAUUAACUUCAAUUUUAGCUCAUAGUUUGCAUAGACAUUUAUACCAGCAAGCUUAUGUCCUCAAGAACAGGUAUGGCUUUCUUUUUCGAAGAUCAUGUGUAAUCGGUGGUCAUGUACUCAAA